GACGAACGCUGGCGGCGUGCCUAAUGCAUGCAAGUCGCACGGGUCUCCUUCGGGAGUUCAGUGGCGAACUGCUGAGGAACACGUGGGGACCUAUCCGUCAGUGGGGGACAACACCGCGAAAGCGGUUCUAAUCCCGCAUACGCUCUGCGGAGGAAAGCGUGGCAACACGCGCUGAAGACUGGCCCGGCGUCCCGUCAGGUAGUUGGCGGGGUAACGGCCCACCAAGCCCGUGACGGGUAGCUGGUCUGUGAGGAAGACCAGACAGACCGGGACUGAGAGACGGUACGGAAUCCUACGGGAGGGAGCAGAACGGGAUUUUCGGCCAUGGGCGGAAGGAUGACCGAGCACCGAUGCGUGAGGGAUGACGGCCUUCGGGUUGUAAACCGCAUGUGGGGGGGAAGAAACUGACGGUACCCACCGAAUAAGCCCCGGCUAACUCUGUG
RNAcentral lists this ribosomal RNA (443 nucleotides) under uncultured bacterium. RNAcentral's name for it is "partial 16S ribosomal RNA". It matches the Rfam family "Bacterial small subunit ribosomal RNA", at positions 28 to 507 of the family's 1533-position model. The record is from RNAcentral.